Non-coding RNA from Ilex paraguariensis (yerba mate), 115 nucleotides. Lineage: Eukaryota; Viridiplantae; Streptophyta; Magnoliopsida; Aquifoliales; Aquifoliaceae. The record is from the annotation of a GenBank genome assembly.
GCGAUCAUACAAGCACUAAAGCACCAGAUCCCAUCAGAACUCCGCAGUUAAGCGUGCUUGGGCAAGAAUAGUACUAGGAUGGAAGUCUCCAAGGGAAGUCUUUGUGUUGCACCCC